AGAAUCUUUCGCAAUGCCCGAAAGGGUGACGAAGCGACGCCGCGUGUGGGAAGAAGGCCUUCGGGUUGUGAACCACUGUCGGGAGUUAAGAAAUGUAAGGGUGUGAAUAGCAUUCUUAUUUGACAAAAGCUCUAGAGGAAGCCACGGCUAACUCUGUGCCAGCAGCCGCGGUAAUACAGAGGUGGCAAGCGUUGUUCGGAAUUAUUGGGCGUAAAGAGCACGUAGGCGGCCUUGCAAGUCAGCUGUGAAAGCCUUCUGCUUAACGGAAGAACAGCAGUUGAUACUACAGGGCUUGAGUGCGGUAGGGGAGAGUGGAACUUCUGGUGGAGCGGUGAAAUGCGUAGAUAUCAGAAGGAACGCCGGCGGCGAAAGCGGCUCUCUGGCCCGUAACUGACGCUGAGUGUGCGAAAGCUAGGGGAGCAAACGGGAUUAGAUACCCCGGUAGUCCUAGCCGUAAACGAUGGGCACUAAGUAGAGGGGUUUUGAUUAUCUCUCUGCCGGAGCUAACGCAUUAAGUGCCCCGCCUAGGGAGUACGGCCGCAAGGCUAAAACUCAAAAGAAUUGACGGGGGCUCGCACAAGCGGUGGAGCAUGUGGCUUAAUUCGAUGCAACGCGAAGAACCUUACCGGGGUUUGACAUGGUAGAAGUAGAAACCUGAAAGGGUGACGAACGGUAUCCAGUCCGUAACUAUCACAGGUGUUGCAUGGCUG
Molecule: ribosomal RNA, 710 nt
Filed under: uncultured anaerobic ammonium-oxidizing bacterium
Lineage: Bacteria
Description: bacterial SSU rRNA
Rfam family: Bacterial small subunit ribosomal RNA
Source: RNAcentral